This 257-nucleotide long non-coding RNA is filed under the name Elaeis guineensis (African oil palm). RNAcentral's name for it is "long non-coding RNA (EGUI_LNC045444)". Lineage: Eukaryota; Viridiplantae; Streptophyta; Magnoliopsida; Arecales; Arecaceae. The record is from RNAcentral.
GUCUAUCUAUCUUGUUCAUGGAUUACAACGUAUAUUGUAAUGACUUGCAAUGAGUUGUAAAACUACAAUGAUUAUAGCAUAUAGCCGGCAUGCCACUAAUAUCUUUAUGGUUCUUCAAUGUCUCUUCAUGAGUAGUGGGCUGUCUCCUAAACUGAUACAGGAGGAUCUUUUUUAAUACGCUUUUGUUCACAACUUGCUCCAUGCAUUUCUCGGACAAAGUCUUGUUGAAAUGGCCUUUUUUCGAAAGACCGGGGAGG